RNAcentral lists this unclassified non-coding RNA (498 nucleotides) under Apis dorsata (giant honeybee). RNAcentral describes it as "mpv17-like protein 2, transcript variant X3". The record is from RNAcentral. Lineage: Eukaryota; Metazoa; Arthropoda; Insecta; Hymenoptera; Apidae.
UUGACAUUAUUUUUUCUUUUUUAGAUCAUGAACAUUACCAAAAAUAUAAAUUUAAUUGUAAAUAAAAUAUCUAUAAUCAAAAAUAAGUUAUUUUCUCCUAAACAUUUACUUUAUACUAAUGUCACAAUAUCUAUUUCUCUCUCUGCUAUUGGAGAUGUAUUAGAACAAUAUUAUGAGAUAUUAAAAGGUGAAUGGGAUAAAUGGAGUAUAAAUAGAACAAAAAACAUGGCUAUAUCUGAUGGAUUCUUGACAUAAACCCUAUUUUGGAAGAUAACUUUCAGUUUUAAUCUAUAGCCAGAAUGCAAGGUAAAACAAAUUUGACUAAUUAUAAAAACAUAUAUUUCAAAACAUUCCAUCAUGAAUGCCAAUUGGUACAAGAACUGCAAUAAAUAAUAAUAAAUUGCGAGCCACUAGUCUCCAAUCAUUUGGUACUGCAUAUGGUGCUAAUACUUGAGUUAAUCUAUGUAUCUAUCAAAAUAAAUGAAAUACUUCAUACUA